RNAcentral lists this ribosomal RNA (497 nucleotides) under uncultured bacterium. RNAcentral's name for it is "partial 16S ribosomal RNA". It matches the Rfam family "Bacterial small subunit ribosomal RNA", at positions 28 to 507 of the family's 1533-position model. The record is from RNAcentral.
GAUGAACGCUGGCGGCGUGCCUAAUACAUGCAAGUCGAGCGAACGGACGAGAAGCUUGCUUUUCUGAUUUUAGCGGCGGACGGGUGAGUAACACGUGGAUAACCUACCUAUAAGACUGGGAUAACUUCGGGAAACCGGAGCUAAUACCGGAUAAUAUUUUGAACCUCAUGGUUCAAAAGUGAAAGAAGGUCUUUCUGUCACUUAUAGAUGGAUCCGCGCUGCAUUAGCUAGUUGGUAAGGUAACGGCUCACCAAGGCAACGAUGCAUAGCCGACCUGAGAGGGUGAUCCGACACACUGGAUCAGAGACAGGGUACCGACUCUGCCGGGAGGCAGCAGUACGGAAUCUUACGCAAUGGGCGAAAGCCUGACGGAGCAACGCCGCGUGAGUGAUGAAGGUCUUCUGAUCGUAAAACUCUGUUAUUAGGGAAGAACAUAUGUGUAAGUACCUGUGAACAUCUUGACGGUACCUAAUCAGAAAGCUACGGCUAACUACGUG